ACCCCCCGAAUUGUAGUCUAGAAAGGCGCCAUCGGCCGCGUCCGCCGCUCAAAUCCCUUGGAACGGGGUAUCGGAGAAGGUGAGAAUCCUGUGCCGUGGCGGUUCGCGGUCGCACGAUGCGCCCUUGCAGAGUCGGGUUGCUUGGGAUUGCAGCUUGAAUUGGGUGGUAAAUUCCAUCUAAAGCUAAAUACUGGCGAGAGACCGAUAGCGAACAAGUACCGUGAGGGAAAGAUGCAAAGAACUUUGAAAAGAGAGUUAAAGAGUGCUUGAAAUCGGCAAGAGGAAACCCGUUUGCGCCCGGCUUCGCGCCGUCGACUCAGCCGUCCUUUUUGGUCGGUGCACUUUGUCGGCGCGGGUCAGCUCUCGCUCUUUUGGCGGCACACACUGUUUGGCGGGGCUUCGGCGAGCCAGACUGGAUGUCGCGCGAGGGGCGUCUGCUGACGGAACGGGCGCAACCGACCCGUCUAGAAACACGGACCAAGGAGUCUGACACGUGUGCGAGUACCCGGGUGGCAAGCCCGCGUGCGGAAUGAAAGUGAAGGGCGUUCUGUGCCAACCGACCUUGAUCUUCUGUGAAGGGUUUGAGUGGAGCACAUCUGUCGGGACCCGAAAGAUGGUGAACUAUGCCUGAGGAGGGUGAAGCCAGAGGAAACUCUGGUGGAGGCUCGUAGCGAUACUGACGUGCAAAUCGUUCGUCGAACUUGGGUAUAGGGGCGAAAGACUAAUCGAACCAUCUAGUAGCUGGUUCCCUCCGAAGUUUCCCUCAGGAUAGCUUGAACGCCACGGUUUUGU
This 792-nucleotide ribosomal RNA is filed under the name Haptophyta environmental samples. RNAcentral's name for it is "eukaryotic LSU rRNA". It matches the Rfam family "Eukaryotic large subunit ribosomal RNA", at positions 133 to 1004 of the family's 3401-position model. Lineage: Eukaryota; Haptophyta. The record is from RNAcentral.